Molecule: long non-coding RNA, 1616 nt
Filed under: Schizosaccharomyces pombe (fission yeast)
Lineage: Eukaryota; Fungi; Ascomycota; Schizosaccharomycetes; Schizosaccharomycetales; Schizosaccharomycetaceae
Source: RNAcentral
UUGAGCAAUUACUUCGGUUUCUUCUUCUUCGUUUAUUUUCUGCUUCAUCAAAGCAUUUUCAUCCACGGCAUUAUUUAUUAGUUGUUUCAGCUCAUCAUGCGGAUGCAUAUUUAAUAAAAGUAACCUAAAAGCAGAUGAAGAUUCAAGGGGAGAUAGUAAAGAAUGAAUUUCCUUAGUAAUAGAGAAAUUAUCAGCCAUUUUUAAUAAAUCAUAAGAGUUACCCCUACCCAUCAAUAAAUGUUGAAGAAUCCGAUGCGUAUCAUUCGAUUUCUUCAACAAGUUUAUUACCUUCGAACACAACUCCGGAAGCAACUUAAAUUUUUCAACUAAGUCCAACCUAUUGUUUAUUUCAACAAUGUUAGUAGAAGGUGCACAAAGUCUCCGGGUUAAUAGGCGGGAUCCAGAUUUAGUAACCGUUUUAUUAAUGGCAUGAAGAAGGGAACCCGUGUAGCGGUUCUGGUAUAAGGAUGAUCUGAUUUCAAGACCUUUCAUUGCUGACUCUCCAAUAAUCAUGUAUUCGUUUAACGAAACUCGAAUGGGUGGUUGAAUAUUUGGAUGCGAAUUUUGAAGCCGAUCAGCGAUAUAUGAUAUUAAUGUACAGCCAGCUGUAACCUCCAAUUUUGUACAAUAUUUUAUAAAGGAAGGGUCAAUUUCCUUUUCUAAAAACUUAUUCCAACAAUCCAGAGAUUGGUAUCGAUUUUCGACGUAGGAUAGGAAAUACUUUCUUUCUUGAAUAAAGGAAUAAAUAGGAUGAGUAGUAAAACUUUUCAAACUUUCGUCUAAAACAAUUUCUCUAGGAGAAAUUCUAGUCAAAUCCCCUGCUAAACGCUGCAAGUUGGAAUCUUGUGUGAAGAACUCACCAGUUGACAAGUCGAGCCAUGAUAAUCCAAUUUUACAAUCAGCGAAACAAUCCUUAUCUUCAGCAGUUCCUUGAUUAGAAAUAUCGGAACUAAAAAAAUUGGGAUCGAAGACGACAGUUAGGAUAUAGUUGCUUUCAUAAGGAUUCAUAAAAUUUUCGUCAAUUAGAGUUCCUGGAGUUAUGACUCGGGUGACAGAUCUAAUAUACAUAUUCUUUGAGCUCAGGUCAUCAACUGGCCUAAUAACUUCCUCACUCAGAGCAACGCACUUUUUUAAAUCUUCCACCAAUAUUUUGAGAUAACGGUCCAGCUUAAAAAAAGGAAAUCCCGCCAUUGAUACAUCAGAUUUAGAAGUCUUUUUCUUGGAAACCCUUAAAUUCAGCAAUGGACCUAUUUUCUCAGCUUGUUCGAAGUACAUUUCAUAGAAAUUACCAACCUUUGUAAGCAAAACACAGUCGGCAAACUUUUUUUGCUGAAAACUAACUUCUUUCAAAAGAGGAGGUAGAGUUACUUUUUCCUUCGGUCUAAUAAAAUCUAACGGAGGUCCUAACGCGCCUUGUAAAAUUGGCUUUUGGCCGACUUUGGGGGAUUUACUAGAAUUUCGAAUUUGAGUAAACGGUACCCAGGUUUUAGUGAAAGAAGAUUUACUUCUUAAUGAAAAAAUAUACCUCCAUGUCGGCAUAAUUUUCAGGUUACCGAAUGGAAGGGUUUUUUUGUAGAGUUAGCAAAAGUUUAUGUUACUAUAAGCGACAAUGAAUG